AGAGUUUGAUCCUGGCUCAGGAUUAACGCUGGCGGUAUGCAUAACACAUGCAAGUCGAACGAGGAUGUUUGCUGGACUUUGUCUAUAAGACAAAUGUAGAUAAAGCCCAGUAAGCAAGCCGAGUGGCGAACGAGAGAGUAACACGUUGGUAACCUACCUCAUACUCAGGGAUAACUCAGCGAAAGCUGGGCUAAUACCGGAUAGUCCGUGUACUGUAAUGGUACACGGUAAAGUUUUUACGGUAUGAGAGGGGCCUACGACCUAUCAGCUAGUUGGUGAGGUAAUAGCUCACCAAGGCUAUGACGGAUACUUGGUCUGAGAGGAUGAUCAGGCACAAUGGAACUGAGACACGGUCCAUACUCCUACGGGAGGCAGCAGUGAGGAAUCUUCCACAAUGGACGAAAGUCUGAUGGAGCGACACCGCGUGAAGGAUGAAGGCCUAACGGUUGUAAACUUCUUUUCUGAAGGAGCAUAAUGAGAGUACUUCAGGAAUAAGGGACGGCUAAAUACGUGCCAGCAGCCGCGGUAAUACGUAUGUCUCAAGCGUUACCCGGAAUCAUUGGGUGUAAAGGGUUUGUAGGUGGAUAAUUAAGUCAGGUAUGAAAGACCGGAGCUCAACUCCGUGUUUGUAUUUGAAACUGGUUGUCUAGAAUCAGGGAGAGGUAAGCGGAAUUCUAAGUGUAGGGGUGCAAUCCGUAGAUACUUAGAGGAACACCAAAAGCGAAGGCAGCUUACUGGAACUGUAUUGACACUGAUAAACGAAAGCGUGGGGAGCGAAAAGGAUUAGAUACCCUUGUAGUCCACGCCCUAAACGUUGAUAACUAAGUGUUGCGACUCGCUCGCAGUGCUGAAGCUAACGCGAUAAGUUAUCCACCUGAGGAGUACGGUCGCAAGAUUAAAACUCAAAGGAAUUGACGGGGACCCGCACAAGCGGUGGAUGAUGUGGUUUAAUUCGAUGCAACGCGAAAAACCUUACCCACCUUUGACAUGUACGGAAUCCUUUAGAGAUAGAGGAGUGCUCGAAAGAGAGCCGUAACACAGGUGCUGCAUGGCUGUCGUCAGCUCGUGUCGUGAGAUGUUGGGUUAAGUCCCGCAACGAGCGCAACCCUUGUCAUUAGUUGCUACGAAAGGGCACUCUAAUGAGACUGCCGGUGACAAACCGGAGGAAGGUGGGGAUGACGUCAAGUCCUCAUGGCCCUUAUAGGUGGGGCUACACACGUCAUACAAUGGCUGGUACAAAGGGUUGCCAACCCGCGAGGGGGAGCUAAUCCCACAAAGCCAGUCGUAGUCCGGAUCGCAGUCUGCAACUCGACUGCGUGAAGUCGGAAUCGCUAGUAAUCGUGGAUCAGAAUGUCACGGUGAAUACGUUCCCGGGUCCUGUACACACCGCCCGUCACACCAUGGGAGCGGGUUCUGCCAGAAGUAGUUAGCCUAACCGCAAGGAGGGCGAUUACCACGGCAGGGUUCGUGACUGGGGUGAAGUCGUAACAAGGUAACC
Molecule: ribosomal RNA, 1498 nt
Filed under: uncultured bacterium
Lineage: Bacteria
Description: partial 16S ribosomal RNA
Rfam family: Bacterial small subunit ribosomal RNA
Source: RNAcentral